GGAUGUGAGGGCGAUCUGGCUGCGACACCUGUCACCCCAUUGAUCGCCAGGGUUGAUUCCUCUGAUCUGGCUGGCUAGCGGGUGUCCCCUUCCUCCCUCACCGCUCCAUGUGCGUCCCUCCCCAAGCUGUGCGCUCGGUCGAAGAGGACGACCUUCCCCGAAUAGAGGAGGACCGGUCUUCGGUCAAGGAUAUACGAGUAGCUGAGCUCCCCUGCUAGAACCUCCAAACAAGCUCUCAAGAAUUAUAAAGAGAGGAAAAAGAAAAUCAACACUUCUAGGAUAUUAACUGUGACAAAUACUU
This 301-nucleotide small nuclear RNA is filed under the name Peromyscus maniculatus bairdii (prairie deer mouse). RNAcentral's name for it is "7SK RNA (ENSPEMG00000004214.2)". It matches the Rfam family "7SK RNA". Rfam says of the family: 7SK was discovered as an abundant small nuclear RNA in the mid-70s but a possible function has only recently been suggested. Two independent studies have found that 7SK RNA binds the CDK9/cyclin T complex (known as elongation factor P-TEFb). P-TEFb activates transcription by phosphorylating the C-terminal domain of RNA polymerase II. Lineage: Eukaryota; Metazoa; Chordata; Mammalia; Rodentia; Cricetidae. The record is from Rfam by way of RNAcentral.